UACAGAGGCCCCGAGCAUUACCCGGAAUUAUUGGGCGUAAAGGGUGCGUAGGUGGUCAUGUUAGUCGUCUGUUAAAUCUCAGGGCUUAACCCUGAAAUCGCGGGCGAAACGGCAUGACUCGAGAGCGUGAGAGGUGAAUGGAACUCAUGGUGUAGGGGUGAAAUCCGUUGAUAUCAUGGGGAACACCGAAAGCGAAAGCAAUUCACUGGCACGUUUCUGACACUCAAGCACGAAAGCGUGGGUAGCGAACGGG
This 253-nucleotide ribosomal RNA is filed under the name uncultured bacterium. Its description in RNAcentral is "partial 16S ribosomal RNA". It matches the Rfam family "Bacterial small subunit ribosomal RNA", at positions 524 to 776 of the family's 1533-position model. The record is from RNAcentral.